This 96-nucleotide ribosomal RNA is filed under the name uncultured bacterium. Its description in RNAcentral is "partial 16S ribosomal RNA". The record is from RNAcentral.
CGUGAGGGACGAAGGCCUUCGGGUUGUAACCUCUUUCAGCAGGGACGAAGCGAAAGUGACUGUACCUCGCAGAAGAAGCACCGGCUAACUACGUGC